CAAUAGCGUAUAUUAAAGUUGUUGCAGUUAAAAGGCUCGUAGUUGGAUUUCUGGUCGGAAGCUCCUGUCCUCUGAUGAGCGUACAAGUGCGUCCUACCAUCCUUCUGUUAACCUUUAAGGCUUUCGCGGCUUUCUAGGGGCUCAGAUAUUUUACCUUGAGAAAAUUAGAGUGUUUCAGGCAGGCUAGCGCCGGAAUACAUUAGCAUGGAAUAAUGGAAUAGGACUUUUGCCUCUUCUGUUGGUCAUGAGGCUCGAGUAAUGAUUAAUAGGGAUAGUUGGGGGCAUUAGUACUUAACUGUCAGAGGUGAAAUUCUCGGAUUUGUUAAAGACUAACUUAUGCGAAAGCAUUUGCCAAGGAUGUUUUCAUUA
RNAcentral lists this ribosomal RNA (369 nucleotides) under uncultured eukaryote. Its description in RNAcentral is "partial 18S ribosomal RNA". It matches the Rfam family "Eukaryotic small subunit ribosomal RNA", at positions 592 to 975 of the family's 1831-position model. The record is from RNAcentral.